GGGGAAUGUAGGUUUGGGGGGCAGCGCCCGGGCCGUGGAGGCUGGGAGGGCGCGCAGCUGGGGCGCCUCAGGCCUUGGAGAAGGUGGCGGCAGCGCCGGCGGGGCCCCCGGGGGCAGCUCCGGGCUCCUCGGCCCAGCGGUUCAUGCAGCGGCGCCGCGCGUUCAUGAAGAAAUUGCUGACGGUGUUGAGCUCCAGGCCGAGCUGCUGCGAGAUGGUGACCUGCAUCUCCUUAGACGGCCGCUUAUUCUCCUUGAAGAUGGCGAUGAGCGUGCGCCGCUGCAGGUCAGUGAACACCAGGCGCUGCUUUUUGGGCUGCAGCGCGCGCUCUUUCUGCUGCUCCUGCUCCUUCCGCUUGCAGGCUGCGGGCGAGCGCGGGCGGGCGGGCCGGCGAGAGGGACGCGGCGCCACCGCGCGGCCGGACAGGAGAAGACAGGCCACGUGUCCCGGAGCGCCGAGACAUCAGGAAACACAGAAAUGCGGGAAACGCGAGAGAUGGAGAGAUGACACGGGGACAGGGCCAAAAAGACAAGGAGACACAGAGAGCAGGAGGCAGCAAGAAGGCGCCCACACCUGGGAGAUGUUGGAGGAAAUAACCCGGAAACCCUACAUCAGGCUGAGACCAAGGCCUGGCAUCCCUCAGGUCCCCCAGGGAACUUCUGGAGCAGGAGAAUUGCAAGACCAACCCUCCCUCUGCCAGAACCACCUGGCCCAGAUGAUGGGGAAGGCGUAGGAGGCCGCGCUAUGGUCAGUACUUGUGUGCUAAGUCACUUCAGUCAUGUCUAACUCUUCUCAAUCCUAUGGACUGAGGCCCUCCAGGUUCCUCUGUCCAUGGGAUUCUCCUGGCAAGAAUACUGGAGUGGAUUCCCAUUUCCUUCUCCAGGGGAAUCUUCCUGACCCAGGGAUCGAACUCAUGUUUGCCUGUAUCUCCUGCAUUGCAGGCAGAUUCUUUACCACUGAGCCACUUGGGAAACCCCCUGUGGUGGGUAGAAGCUUGCAAAGGAGAAGUGGCAGCAUCUGAGUGGUGGAGCUAGGGUGGAGCCUAUGGUCGUGCUCCCCCCUGCACCAGCUCCAAAGUGGGCCCCUCCCCUCAAUGCUGUGGGGCCAGCGGAUAGAAAACAUGAUCUUCACCAGCCAAAGCUGGCUACCUCCACCUGGGGACUGGCAUCAGCAAAAUCUCCAUCAGGGUCUCAAUUCCUUGACCACACACCAGUCAGGGACAGUGGGUGGUGGACGCCCACCCCAUCCUGCCUUCCCACAAACCGCUUGCCCCAGCGACUCUGUCACUCCCAGAGUGGCUGGUGGCACGGGCUAUACUAGCAGAUCUCCGCUACCAGCCCUGGUAGCCUGCUGGGACCAUGUACCAAGCUGGUUUUUUUUUUGGUUCCGGAACAGUCUGAACCAGAUGACAUGCCAGAUCAAUGUCCACACAUGUCCGUAAAAAAUAAAUGACUGUCCCCUGUGCUGUGGCUCAUUUCUCAGUGAUGACAUCUCCCCCUCUCGCCCUCAAGUUCCCCCCCCUCCGUUUGGACUGAUGCACCACUUCCUUAUCUGGCUUCUUCUGACCUGGAACACACAGUGCUUCUAAUUGGCUGUUUCAGGUUUCAUAAUUAAAUGAGAGUGGCAGGCAGAGGUUACUGGACUUUUCAGAAAAAAGCUUCUAAUGAAGGAGAGAGAGAGAAAGUGAGAAAAUGGGAGGACUGGGGACUGAUGCUCUCAGAAGAAACAGAUAAGACAGGUGCAAUUAGAAGUCAGAUUCUGGGAGGGGUAAGAGAAAAUACUGUAUCCAUGAAACAAGAACUGGAUGCUGUUCAAUAGAAAGGACCAUGAGAGGGGCAGACAAUGCUCUUAGAAUUUAAGUAUAUUAUAGCAGGAAUAAAGUCAAUGUAAGAAUUGGGACAUAGGAACUUCCCUGGCAGUCCAGUGGUUAGGACUCUGCUUUCACUGCCAAGGGCCCAGGUUCAUUCCCUGGUUGGGAAACUAAGAUUCCACAAGCCAUGUGGCAUGGCCAAAAAGUUAAAAAAAAAAAGAAGAAGAAGAAGAAUUGGAACAUAAAGCAAAUAUCCCUGGAAAUAUAAGUGGAUGCAGAGAUGGAAAAUGAGGGAAAGAUGAUAACAAAGUUUGAGGAUGAAUGUGCAGGUUUGUCAUCUGAGCAAGAGGCCAUCCAAAACUAGAGAAAGGGAAGCCCAAACAAAUUAUAUCAAUAUGAUUAGAAUAGUGUGUGUGUGUGUGUGUGUGCUCAGUCAUGUUCAACCUGUUAUGACCCCAUGGACUGUGGGCCACCAGGAUCCUCUGUCCAUGGGAUUCUCCGCAUCUCUUGUGUCUCCUGCAUUGGCAGGCAGAUUCUUUACCACUGUACCACCUGAGAAGCAG
This is a long non-coding RNA of Capra hircus (goat), 2371 nucleotides long. The record is from Ensembl. Lineage: Eukaryota; Metazoa; Chordata; Mammalia; Artiodactyla; Bovidae.